UGACUCAUGGGUAAGAAGAGGGAGACCAUAUAAAUUAGAUAUUCCGAGUUGGAGGAGAGAGUAAAUUCAAUAACUCAAUGACUUACCAUGCUGCAAAGCUUAUAAAACCCUCAGUAAACGGUAGCUGUUACUGUUAUAUGUAUGCCCUAAGUGAAGUCCAUUCUAAUAGGCAGAGAAGUAUCUAUAAUCUACCGUGACCAAACAAGGACAUAAAACCCAUCUACUUACCCUGCAAAACUGCUUUUAUAGGUUCAUGUGAGAUUUCACUAGAUCAUCACAACUCUCCUCUUGGCUUUUUGUCUUACCACAUUUCCUAUAAAAUCCUGAGCAGAGAUUCACAAACUAGUUCAUACCCUGAAAUAAAUCUUGCCUUUUGGAAGGUGCAUAUUUGAAUAUUUAUUAGCAUUUGAUAAUUACAUUCACAACAAAGACAUUUGAGGGAGGAGACACAUUGCCAGGGGGAUUAAGAAGUAACCUACACGUUUACCUAAUGUAGAACGAGUGGCCAGGAUCAAUCACUCCAGCAACCCAGGCAACAGAAGGGCUUCACUUUCACCUGCAGAACUGGAACAGAUCCGAAGGAGUUCCAGCUGGAAAAAAUCUGAAGGAGUUCUGUCCUUGACACCCAAGGGGACCUGCCUCCAUUAUAGAUUUGUACUUCGGAGGAGACUAGUAAGCAGCCUUGGUCCUGUAAACCCAAGUCUGGUCAGUGAGGGCCGUACCAGGAUGCCUACAACCUGCCCACCAAACACUCAGCAAAGCCACGGUGCUACAUAGUCUCCAGAACCGGGGGAAGCUUUGUCAUUAAAUUCCCUGAAGGGAAUGCUAAGACAGAAAGCAGAGCCUAGAAGGAGGUGGAAAGUAGGGUGGACGGUGAAGGUAUCUAUGAGAUCUCAUGGGAGGAACCAACCUUCGUCUCUUGGAUGUCCCUGUGCACCCGUGACCGUGAGCUACCUUCCUUCCAUUCCCCACCACCUAACUAAAGUUUUCUUUGUUCAGGAAGUAGAAUCAUGCAACUAAAAGGGAAAAUUAUAGUUUUGUCAUGAAAAACUAGUCCAGGACUAACGGAGCCUUGGACUGGCCUUGUGACUUACGAAAGUUACUUAACCACCUUCCAUGUGUUGCUUCAACUUUCUCGUCUGUAAAGAGGACUAAUGAUGGUACCUACCAAAAGCAUAGCAGUUGUGAAAACUCUAGAGUUCACUCAUGUGAAGGGCUUAGGACAAUUCCUAGUGCUGUUCUCAAAAAAAUUUUGAGAUAUUAUUGUUUUAGCUACUUUUUUUUUUUAACAGCCACCUUCAAUGACACACUGCUCUGAACAGUCUUAUCCCAUCACUGCCAACGCCAUGCAGAGACACAUUCCAUGGGAUGAUAAAGAUAAAAUUGCUUGAACAGAUCAUGCCUCUCUGGUUAAUCACCACCUUACUUACUCAUUCAAUAAAUUUUGAUUGCCUUUGUGACAGACACUGUUUAUGUACUUGGGCUAGAGUGGGGAAUAAGGCAAAGUCCUCAUGGAGUUUACAUUCUUGUUGGAGGGACAGAUAAGCAAGUACUUUAAGUAUAUAAUAUGUUGCCAGACGACGGGACAUUUCUGUGGAGAAAAAGAAAGCUGGGAGGGAGGAAGGGAGUGAUGGGGCAUUGCUGUAGACGAGGGGGCAGUGGGUAGGCAGAAGGCCUCUCAAGCCUUCACUGGAAGUCUUCCUCUUCCAUUGAAUGGAAGUCUUCCUGGAAAGACUUGGUGGAUCAGUCCUUGCAAACAGCACAGCAGAUGCAAGGGACUUGGGAUGGAAAUGAGCCUGGUGGGUCCAAGGAAGUUAAGCAAGAGGACAGUUGUAACAGGAACCGAGCGAGAUGGAGGUAUUCCCUCAAACAGAGCAGAUGUAGGGCCUUGGAGGCAAUGCUAAUGGGUUUGAAGAUCGAGGGGGCAUCAUCCCUCAUUCUGGCCUUCCUUCUAUUUCACAGAUUGCCCUGGGGGUUCUCUCCUAGGCGAUCACUUGAUAUUAUGUGGCUUUUAUCAGUGAGGUGGCUUCCUUCUGGGGUGCUGAUGGCUAGAGCUUCUUCAACUUCCCAUGGCAGUUCCUGUGAGUGGGGCAUGAUGUCUGUGCCCCAGGGUGGCCAGGUAAAGUAGGGGGACUGUCACAUGCCCCUGAAAAUGUUGCAUUGUCACACAUCUGGAAGCAUCCCCCUCCCCCCACUCCCGCAACCAGGACCAGCUGUGUAAUUUGUGGGGCCUGAUGCAAAAUGAAAACAUGGACUCCUUAUUUAAGCAUUACAAAUUUCAAGAUGGUGACAGCAGAGCAUUAAAAGAAGCACACAACUAUGAGGGCUGCAUGCCCAGGAAGCCAGCUCUGCCUCCAUCACUGUCCCACACUCACCCUCCCUGAGACCCGGGCAUGGCAACCCUUUGCUUCAGGGGCUCCAGAAGGUCUUGAGAAGUCAGGUCUUUCCUCUCUUCUGCUUACAGUACCUUGUUUUCCCCUAACUCAGGCCAAUUCUGCUGUGCUUAAAAUCACCCCUGUUCUUUGAUGACCAAAUAAUCACAUAGACAUGUGCUCUCCUUUCCUUAAUCAAAAGCUGGCUCCCCAAGCAUUGCCCACACAACUAGCAUUGCUGCUGGUAAGACUAAGCUGAGUUUGUUGCUUACUGCAGUAGGGGACAACGGCACCUUGCAAAACUGGGAGGGUCUCAGAGCAGGAAGGUAAGGUCAGAAUUUAUUGAGAAUUAGAAGUUUGCUUGAAGGCCUUUAUUUCAGUGCAGGUGUUUGAUUGAGAUUGGCUGAAAAUACUGAUGAUGUCUAGAAUUGAUGGAAACAGCAGGUUUGAAAAAAGUCCUAAGAGCCCACACUGUCAAUGUUUUCAGUGGAAGUUGAUGGAUCUUUUGUGAAGUUCCUGUAAUGAAUAAUCAAAACCAGUCAGUUACGGGGGUGCCUGGGUGACUCAGUCAGUUGAGCUUCCACCUUCGGCUCAGGUCGAUCUUGUAGUUCAUGAGUUCCAGCCCCAUGUUGGGUUCACUGCUAUCAGGACAGAGCCUGCUUCAGAUCCUCUAUCCCCCUCUCUGCCCCUCCCCCACUCGUGCUUGCUCGCUCUCUCAAAAGUAAACAUUUUUUAAAAAAUGUAAAAGGGCAUCUGGGUGGCUCAGCCAGUUAAGUGUCCGACUUCAGCUGAGGUCAUGAUCUCACAGUUUGUGAGUUCGAGCCCCGCAUCGGGCUCUGUGCUGACAGCUCAGAGCCUGGAGCCUGCUUGUGUCUCCCUCUCUCUCUGCCCCUUACAUGCUUGCUCACUUGCUCUUCCUCUCUCUCUCUGUCUCUGAAAAAUAAAUAAAACAUUAAAAAAAAUUUUUUUUUAAUCCUACGCGGGCAGGACAGACCCAGAAGUGUAAAGGAGACAAGGGAAUAUAGCAAAGUUGGGUUACUCUAGACAGUAAGGCAUGGUUUUGGUUCAGUGUCUAGGCUGAGUAUGGGGUGGGCGAUUGGGGGUCUCACUCAGAAUGAGUGAUUUCUCUUCAGCUUGGUGCCUUCCUGACUGGCCUGCCUCUGCUGACACAGACAUGCUCAGACAUGUCUGAGUUAUCCAAUGAGUAUAGUCCAGAGUCAGGUAAGGAGACUGAUGUCCUAAGGUCUCCUCCUAUCAUGGUAAGAAGACCCUGUUUUUCCUGGGGUAGAAAUAAUCACAUUGCUGCCCUGAAUUGGGGGUCUUUGCUUGCAGACAAUGGACUGUUACAAGAAUGGGAUGGGGGAAGGGCAGGCAGGAGAAGAGAGAGAGGGCAGGGUCGCUGGAAGACCAUCUCUAUUACUGAGGUGGCAUGGCGGGGGGGAGGGUUGUUGAGAAAGAACAGAUUUCUCCAACAGCCUUUUCAGUGGAAACAGAAAGACCCAGAAUGUGGUGGUGACUUCACAGUGCUUGAUUGCCAUGGAAACUUAGGUAAUUUCUAAAGCAGCUUCAAAAGCUUCCAUCCCUAUGGCUCUUCUAGGAUGUUCUUACAGAGAGAAGGAUACUUGGUGAGCCCACCUGGGACAAAACAGCAGCGUGAGGAAUUAACCAGCAAGGCAGAUGCAGGCUUCCUGGCAAGCCUUUGUUUAUACCCGAGGCGCAGGGGUCGUCCUUGCCCCCACCAGCAAGGCGGAGGGCUCCUCUUUGGCCCCCACCAGUGGUAGGCAGGUGUUCGUUGGGGGGCAAGACAGGAAGAGAGGGGUAGAGAAGCCAUGAAGGGAGUCACUUCUACUACCAAAGUGUUACCAAAAGCAUCAGGUCCAGAUGCGAUGAAGGUUAGCCUCAAUUUCACCAUCUGCAAAAUAGUACCUGCCUUCUAGGAUUGUGCUGAGAAAUAACUGAGAAGUGGAACACACUGAACAUGGUCGGCCUGUAAUAAUAGCACUUCCUACGUUUUUACUCA
Molecule: long non-coding RNA, 4392 nt
Organism: Neofelis nebulosa (Clouded leopard)
Lineage: Eukaryota; Metazoa; Chordata; Mammalia; Carnivora; Felidae
Exons: 2
Source: RefSeq, a predicted model, not a curated record